CUAAAAUGAAAGUUAAAUUCAUUAGACUACAGAAAAAAAGUAUAAGAUUACACACAUCAGUCAUAAGUGUCCAACAAGUGACCGAUAAAACAAGGUGUGCUUAUCCCUUGUCACCGAAUACCAGUUCUUGAGAGACAAAACUGGAAGAGAAUAUGUAAGUAAGGAACCACAAGAUUUCAUCAAGGGUCCAACAGAUAACCAGUUCAGUGGUACCAAAUACACCCAACCCGGUUCUACCGGUGCAGAUUCAAUCCUGGAGAUAAUGAUGGAAGGUG
Paramisgurnus dabryanus is the source of this 275-nucleotide long non-coding RNA. RefSeq lists it as uncharacterized. Lineage: Eukaryota; Metazoa; Chordata; Actinopteri; Cypriniformes; Cobitidae. The record is from RefSeq and is a predicted model, not a curated record.